AGAGUUUGAUCCUGGCUCAGGAUGAACGCUGGCGGCGUGCCUAACACAUGCAAGUCGAACGAAGCGCCUGCGGCGGACCCCUCCGGGGGAAAGCCGCGGGGGACUGAGUGGCGGACGGGUGAGCAACGCGUGGGCAACCUGCCCCGUACCGGGGGACAACAGCCGGAAACGGCUGCUAAUACCGCAUAUUCCCGCGGGGCCGCAUGGCCCUGCGGGGAAAGCUCCGGCAGUACGGGAUGGGCCCGCGUCUGAUUAGCUUGUUGGCGGGGUAACGGCCCACCAAGGCUGCGAUCAGUAGCCGGCCUGAGAGGGCGGCCGGCCACAUUGGGACUGAGACACGGCCCAGACUCCUGCGGGAGGCAGCAGUGGGGGAUAUUGCACAAUGGGGGGAACCCUGAUGCAGCGACGCCGCGUGAACGAAGAAAUAUUUCGGUAUGUAAAGUUCUAUCAGCAGGGAAGAAAAUGACAGUACCUGACCAAGAAGCCCCGGCUAACUACGUGCCAGCAGCCGCGGUAAUACGUAGGGGGCGAGCGUUAUCCGGAUUCACUGGGCGUAAAGGGAGCGCAGGCGGCACGGCAAGUCCGGUGUGAAAGCCCGGGGCCCAACCCCGGGACUGCACUGGAAACUGCCGGGCUGGAGUGUCGGAGGGGCAGGCGGAAUUCCUAGUGUAGCGGUGAAAUGCGUAGAUAUUAGGAGGAACACCGGUGGCGAAGGCGGCCUGCUGGACGACGACUGACGCUGAGGCUCGAAAGCGUGGGGAGCAACAGGGAUUAGAUACCCGGGUAGUCCACCCGGUAAACGAUGAUACCAAGGUGUCGGCGGGCACGGCCCGCCGGUGCCGCAGCAAACGCAGUAAGUAUUCCCGCCUGGGGAGUACGUUCGCAAGAAUGAAACUCAAAGGAAUUGGCGGGGACCCGCACAAGCGGUGGAGCAUGUGGUUUAAUUCGAAGCAACGCGAAGAACCUUACCAGGCCUUGGCAUCCUGAUGGCCGGGCAUGCAAUGUGCCCUCCCUUCGGGGCAUCAGUGACAGGUGGUGCAUGGUUGUCGUCAGCUCGUGUCGUGUGAUGUUGGGUUAAGUCCCGCAACGAGCGCAACCCCUGCCCGCAGUAGCCAGCACGUUGAGGUGGGCACUCUGCGGGGACUGCCGGGGACAACCCGGAGGAAGGCGGGGGCGACGUCAAAUCAUCAUGCCCCUUAUGGCCUGGGCGACACACGUGCUACAAUGGCGCCGACAGAGGGAUGCGAAGCGGCGACGCGGAGCGAACCCCAAAAACGGCGCCCCAGUUCGGAUUGUAGUCUGCAACCCGACUACAUGAAGCCGGAAUCGCUAGUAAUCGCGGAUCAGAACGCCGCGGUGAAUACGUUCCCGGGUCUUGCACACACGCCCGUCA
Molecule: ribosomal RNA, 1393 nt
Filed under: uncultured bacterium
Lineage: Bacteria
Description: bacterial SSU rRNA
Rfam family: Bacterial small subunit ribosomal RNA
Source: RNAcentral